AAAAUGGCAGCCUGUCUGGAAGCACAAGAGCUGCCGGGAACACCCUCGCUGCGAGCCAACAGAAUCUAGAGCACAGGGAACAGGCGGAGGGGAGAGCCAGCCAGAAGCAGAGGAAGACACACUUGGAGGGGACACAGACAGGGAAGAAGCCAUGUGUGAACACGGUGAGGAGUGACCAUCCGGAUGACUAAGUAGGUGUUCGGGCACAGCGACGAAAGGCACUACAACCAUGGAGCCGAGCGGCAGCGGAUCCUACCGCACAAGGCCAGGAGUGCGAGGGUGCCCGGGCCCACCCCCACCCAUCCCAAGACAGCAGGAGCAGAUGAAGCCCAGGAAGCACACCCGGGUGGCUGUGCUCUCCUGCUGCUCUAGGCAGGCCAAGCUUCUGGUGGGCUGUACACAGCCUUGGCUAGGGCUGACACCACAGAUAAGACUACCAGGGAGGCCGUUUCAGAGCGGCUGCCGACAGAGGGGCACGCGAAGCGGGUUCCAGGCUCCGAGGAGUGCUCUGGAAAGCAACUGCUGGUUCACGUCAGGAGUUUUGAAGAAACGGCAACUCUUCUGAAGAGCCUGCCAGCCGUUUCCCAGCUCUCUUCUCCCUGAGGUGGUCCUGAGGCCUGGUGACUCAGCGCGGUCUCCUAUUCUCUGGGCUUCCCCACAUCCGCCUCAAGCGUUCUUUUGAGCUUUCCUUGGUCACUGCUGGCUUUAGGAGCAGUUCCCGACUCCCUGAGUCAGGGGUCUAAAGGGCAGCAGACCUCUAUGGGCGAGGCAAAGGGCACAGCAGUGUCUGCUACCAGCCUCUCACAUGUGGCAGGCAGGGUGUUCUGACAUGGUGCCCACUUAGGUUGGUGAGGGGCAGCAGGAGGGGGAGCUGGGGCUGGACGGCACAUCCGGCUGAAGCCAUGAAUGCAGCCAACUGGUUGCUUCUACCUUGACUAUAAACCUGAAUUUAUGUGCAAAUAUUUACUUCAACCUGAUCACUUUCAAAGAAAGUCAUAAUGUUUAAUUUUAAAUUAAUUCUGUUAGAAAAACGUAUGAUUUGUCAGCAAACUUUAGAGUGAUACAUACUGUGACAAGCAGAGAAUAAAAGUUCAGUGUAUCCUUUCAUCAAUCAAUAAAUUUGCAAGGGGUGGUGGCUCCUGCCUUUGAUCCCAGUACUCAGAGUCCGAGGCCAGGCUGGUCCACCUCGGGCGUUCCAGCCAGGGCUACACAGUGAGACCCUGUCUCAAAUUUAAUUAAUUGUUUUUAAUG
Long non-coding RNA from Meriones unguiculatus (Mongolian gerbil), 1251 nucleotides. RefSeq lists it as uncharacterized. The transcript has 3 exons. Lineage: Eukaryota; Metazoa; Chordata; Mammalia; Rodentia; Muridae. The record is from RefSeq and is a predicted model, not a curated record.